RNAcentral lists this small nucleolar RNA (208 nucleotides) under Naumovozyma dairenensis CBS 421. Its description in RNAcentral is "Small nucleolar RNA snR63". It matches the Rfam family "Small nucleolar RNA snR63". Lineage: Eukaryota; Fungi; Ascomycota; Saccharomycetes; Saccharomycetales; Saccharomycetaceae. The record is from Rfam by way of RNAcentral.
UUAAAUGAUGAUACUUAUUUUUUUUCGUUGAUCUAUUGAGAACAGAAAUAAAUUUUCUUUAUUUUUUAAGAUAUCUCAUCGGUUAUAAACAUAGUGAUUCCAUUUAUCGUUCUGAUGGGUGGAAUCGUUUAUGAUUAUAGCCAACUUAUAUGAGUAUCUUUUAAUGUGAUGAGUGAUCAACACCUUAUAUGUCAUAGUUACACUGAUA